Molecule: long non-coding RNA, 922 nt
Organism: Trichomycterus rosablanca
Lineage: Eukaryota; Metazoa; Chordata; Actinopteri; Siluriformes; Trichomycteridae
Exons: 3
Source: RefSeq, a predicted model, not a curated record
UAACAAGACUAAAGCCCAAUGGUGGUGUACUUUACACCAAUCCAGCUUAUUGCUGGCAUUUCACGUUAUGGUCUUAGUGUUGUGUGCAGCGUUUCCACUAAACUUGUAGCAAUCGUAGCAUGACUGAGCUCCUCAUUACAACACAUUUUACUGCCAAUGUUUGUCUAGAUUUUUAUGUGUCGUGUUCCUUUCUAAAAACAGCAAUUGUGUAAAAUGGUAAUCACAUAAUCACUGGGAAGUUCCCUUUUUUGGUUGUUUGUUUAUUUGCUGUGGAUAUACUCAACUUCUGUGUGCACUCACUUUCCUGGCAGUUACAUUGCACCUACUCUGGUUGGGUCAGAUGGUGUCAAAAGCCACCUCUAUUUUUAUUUCUAUUGUAAACAGAUGAUAUUUCUGUAUAUAAUUGUUUAUUUAUUUUACUCAGAGUUGCUGUGAAUCUGGUGCCAUGUGGAAACACUGGAAAUAAGGUGUGAACGCAGCCUUGACAGUGUAAUACACCUAGGGCCACGUCAGAACAGCUAAUUCAUCUUCUACAUGUUUGUUGGAGUAGAGAAGAGAGCACAGGACAGAAGAGAAAGAAAUGACAAGAAAUGGGAGAGACCCACCACCAACUCCAGAUUUGCAUCCAAGGAGAGCACGCCGCUGCCCACGCCUUCUUUACACGUGUACAGCCCUCCUCUUCUCAUCCACGCUUCCUGCACGGGCAUCUCCUCUGCUCUUUUGUAGGUCAACUGUUCUUUGAGUGGCUAAUUCACUUACUGGUAUUGGGAGGUUGAAGGAAAACCUGUUCCCAGAAAAAAAUAUGCAUGAGAGAGACUCAAGCUAAAGAUCAAAGGUAACUGGCACUAUACUGUGCCACCACUGUGCCACCCACAUUGAUGAUAAGUAGCUCCAUACACUUUGUUAAUAGUUUAUUCCUUAU